UACGGGGGGGGUAAGCGUUGUUCGGAAUUACUGGGCGUAAAGGGCGCGUAGGCGGCGUGACAAGUCACUUGUGAAAUCUCCGGGCUUAACUCGGAACGGCCAAGUGAAACUGUCAUGCUAGAGUGCAGAAGGGGCAAUCGGAAUUCUUGGUGUAGCGGUGAAAUGCGUAGAUAUCAAGAGGAACACCUGAGGUGAAGACGGGUUGCUGGGCUGACACUGACGCUGAGGCGCGAAAGCCAGGGGAGCAAACGGG
Molecule: ribosomal RNA, 253 nt
Filed under: uncultured bacterium
Lineage: Bacteria
Description: partial 16S ribosomal RNA
Rfam family: Bacterial small subunit ribosomal RNA
Source: RNAcentral